AUAUGUACUAUUUACAAUACAAUACAAUAUGGAUACUAAAAGGAUUUCUACUCUCACAAUGGUAUUUUUAUUGGCUUUCUUUGUUAUUGCAUCAGAUUUGUGUCAAGAAUCUGAAGGAGCAAGUGGAUACUAUUCAGGUUACGCCUGCAAAACAGAUGCAGUAUGUCUACCCAAUUGUCCUAGAGGACAAAUUGGAAAAUGUUUGAAUGCGAAGUGUUGGUGUAUGGGCUAUCCACCAAAUGUCUAAAAUAUUCCUAGUGUUUAAUAUACUUCAAAUUUCAAAUUAAGUAUUGAAAAAUUGGAAUGUACUUAUAGUU
Molecule: non-coding RNA, 317 nt
Organism: Cicer arietinum (chickpea)
Lineage: Eukaryota; Viridiplantae; Streptophyta; Magnoliopsida; Fabales; Fabaceae
Source: RefSeq, a predicted model, not a curated record